AUUGAUUGUUUUUGAUGAUGUAGAUGAUGCAGAUCAGUUAAAAAAUUUAGUAGGAGAGCAUGAUUUAUACGGUGUGGGAAGUAGAAUCGUUGUAACUAGCAGAGAUCAGCAAGUACUUGAAAAUUUUUGUCUAAAGGAAUGCAUAUAUGAGGUUAAGAAAUUAACUUAUCCUGAAGAUUUGGAACUCUUUAGCUUGCAUGCCUUCA
RNAcentral lists this unclassified non-coding RNA (206 nucleotides) under Hevea brasiliensis (rubber tree). Lineage: Eukaryota; Viridiplantae; Streptophyta; Magnoliopsida; Malpighiales; Euphorbiaceae. The record is from RNAcentral.